UCCCUGGUGGUCCAGGGUAAGACUUCUCCUUCCAAAGCAGGGGGUGCAGGUUUGAUCCCUGUCCUGGGAG
Molecule: transfer RNA, 70 nt
Filed under: Bos taurus (domestic cattle)
Lineage: Eukaryota; Metazoa; Chordata; Mammalia; Artiodactyla; Bovidae
Also listed under: 1 other name
Rfam family: tRNA
About the family: Transfer RNA (tRNA) molecules are approximately 80 nucleotides in length. Their secondary structure includes four short double-helical elements and three loops (D, anti-codon, and T loops). Further hydrogen bonds mediate the characteristic L-shaped molecular structure. tRNAs have two regions of fundamental functional importance: the anti-codon, which is responsible for specific mRNA codon recognition, and the 3' end, to which the tRNAs corresponding amino acid is attached (by aminoacyl-tRNA synthetases). tRNAs cope with the degeneracy of the genetic code in two manners: having more than one tRNA (with a specific anti-codon) for a particular amino acid; and 'wobble' base-pairing, i.e. permitting non-standard base-pairing at the 3rd anti-codon position.
Source: Rfam by way of RNAcentral